RNAcentral lists this ribosomal RNA (279 nucleotides) under uncultured bacterium. Its description in RNAcentral is "partial 16S ribosomal RNA". It matches the Rfam family "Bacterial small subunit ribosomal RNA", at positions 506 to 786 of the family's 1533-position model. The record is from RNAcentral.
UGCCAGCAGCCGCGGUAAUACGGAGGGUGCAAGCGUUAAUCGGAAUUACUGGGCGUAAAGCGCGCGUAGGCGGUUUUGUAAGUCGGAUGUGAAAUCCCUGGGCUUAACCUGGGAACUGCAUUCGAUACUGCAUAACUAGAGUAUGGUAGAGGGAAGUGGAAUUUCCGGUGUAGCGGUGAAAUGCGUAGAUAUCGGAAGGAACACCAGUGGCGAAGGCGACUUCCUGGGCCAAUACUGACGCUGGGGAGCGAAAGGGGGGAGAAAAAACAGGAUAACACC